Molecule: long non-coding RNA, 7529 nt
Filed under: Lynx pardinus (Iberian lynx)
Lineage: Eukaryota; Metazoa; Chordata; Mammalia; Carnivora; Felidae
Source: RNAcentral
GUCUGGUAGUAAAAAAAAAAAAAAAAAAUACUAAUAAUAAAAAAAAAAAUAAAGGAAAGAAAAGAAAAGAAAAAAAAAAAAGAAGUAGGGUGUGUGUGUACCCUUCUGUGUUUGUGUGCAGCCCAGUUAGGGAGAGGGGCCUUUCUGUCACAGCAGCUGUUUUGUGACACCCCUGCAGCAUUUCCCCACGGCCCGUGGGGAGGAGCAGGACAGAGCAGAACAGUGGCAUCACUGAGCCCAGACCUUCUCAGGUGUUCACUGUGUGUGCGUGCGUGCGUGUGUGUAUUUUAGUUACGCUCCAAAUUGUGGUUUCUCUGUCUGAAGUUAAAAAUGAAAGGUGAAUACAAUAUAUUGUAUUUGGUAACAAUGAUAUGGACUGGUACAUCUAGACAGAUAAUGUGCAGUUGUAAUUAGACUCAAUAGACAGGCAGUCAUUUUAAAAUUCUUUGACACAUGCAUAAAAUAGUCAUAUAAUAAGAUAAGAUGACAAUUUUAUGUUAGGUUGAUAAAGUGUCCCGAUACAUGCAUUUAAAUGUCUGUAAGCCUUUAAAAAAAUCCAGACAGAUUAAUUCUAGUUUCCAGUAUUUGCAGUUAGUCAUUAAAUUAAUUUUUAAAUCCUACUAAACAAUGGCUAUGAAUAUGUUUUUUUUUUUCCCCCCUUCUAGAUUUUUUACCUGAAUUGCAGAGAAUGGAUACACAGGCUUGGUAGCUUUCUCUAAUUUUUCAACAUUGGUAAACAAUUACAUUAGACAUGGGCAUAAAAAUUCAGUUUCCUGUUUGUAGCUAGAAUAAAGGUCUGCAUUUUUGGAAGUAAAAAAAAAAAAAGUUAUAGAGUAUAAUCUGCUUAUGACCACUUGCCUGAACAACUGUCAUACUCUAGAUUUAGGAAUCUUUAUUAGAAAGAUUACAUAGUGUCCUUGACCAAAUAUUGAAUAUUUUAUAAGCCCCAUUUAAAAAAGAAGACAUUUCAAGCACAUACACUUGAUUUGAUCAGCACUUAGAUUCUUGGGUUUAAUUACUUUCAAUUCUGUAAAUUAUUUUAGUGUUUCAACAGGAGUGGCCCCAGUGAUGUAUCGAGGGGAGUAAAAAGGCAUUUCUCUAAAGGUCACGUUACCUGGACUUUUCAACCAUCUUCAUACCUUGUUUUCUCAGAUGUGCAAAGGUGUGGCUCUUGAAGAAUAAUUUCAAUUUGUUUGGGCUUAAUGAUAAAUUAUUAAUUCAUACUGUCAGGACACAUGUUAUUAAUUAUGACGGUGUUUUCUUCAUCCAGAACAGCUGUUGGGGAAACAGUGUAAGUUCAGAUUGUCUUCAGGGGGAGGGCGCCAAAGCAAGGAACUUACCAAGUCCUUGUCAUCAUAUCUUGGUCCCCUUGCUUUGGGAAUAAAGCAUUGCGGGGGAUGAGGGGGGGUGGGGAGGGAGUGAAAGGGAGAGAGAAACCAUUCAUUCUAAACCAAGAUGUGCACCAGCAAAUGCUAACUGAUGUACGUUUUCUGAAAAGCAAGCCUAACUCUCCAAGGUCUGUGAGUUCAGACCUGAGCUCAGAAUCCCCCAGCUGGGAUUCUGAGGUGGGACCUGCUCCCUUCCCAAGUGCAGGUUUGAAUGGACUGCCCUCUUCAUCGCACGAGUGGGACUUGUUUUCUUCUUAUUCUUGGGUAGACCAGAAGGUCGUGGUCACAAGUGCAUGGUGGCGGGAAGCAAAAUACUCUGAGCGUUUGUUGUUCCCCAAACUGGAACCCAUCCUUAAUGGAGGGCAACGCGCCAUUUGGUAAUAUACGUGAAAUGACUUCAAUUCAUUUACUUUUGAUUUUUACCAUUCUCAUCAUUAAAUCUAGUCCUAUGUAUUCAGUUUCUUCUGAGUUCUUUGAGAAAUGCAUGUUGCAUAAAAUAGGCAAUUUUUAAUGAACAAUUUAAUGUAAAUGGGUUUUGAAUUUAAAUUAAUAUUAAUGAAGCCUUGAGUGAAUUUAUUUUGCAUACGUAAAGACUUGUAAGUCUUUCACCCAUGUGCUUUCUCCUUUAUGUAGUAACAUUGGUUGGUGGGAUUAACUAGAGCCUUUUAAAGAUUUACACUUAAAAAAAUUAAAUUGAUUUUAUAUGUCCAAUAGCACCAACAUAUUAUUAGGCAGAGGUGUUACUUAAUUUAAAGAAAAUAUACCUCAUUUCCUAUUAAACCUCUCAGUUUCCAUUACCCUGUUCUUCCUGCAAGCUGCCGUUGCUUUGGCGUUGCUGCUGGGGAAAAUACAUACCAACAAUAGUUACUACAAUCAAGAUGUUUUCUUUCUUUGGCUUACCUCUAAUGCAUUAUGUAUCCUGGAAUGAUGGGAAGUUCUGUAAUUAAUUCUGUUAGAUGUAAUUGCUAUAAUCACUUUGAUGUUACACAUAAUAAAGGUAAUAUGGUAAGCACAUAAAAAAUAUAAACACCUUAUUGUAACACUACUACUAAAAUUCCUUCUCAUCGAGUCUGGCUUAUAGACCAGUGUUCUUAACUGGUUUUGGCCAUAGGUGACAAUUUAUCCGAGCCGUGUUCAUUGAUAUUCCAAAGGAGAGUCAUUUAUUGGAAAGGAUGGGCCUUGUCUUGGAGAGAUCUCCAAGCUGGUUGCCUAGGAAUCUUAAUGCCCUUUUCCUCAAAGAUGUGGCUAAUUAGAAAAGGUGACCAUUAUCUUCUGUAGAGGAGAGGGGUAAAGGCUUCCCGGAAGUGGCCAUGGAAUGAGGUAAGAGGGUGGCCUAGGAGGGACAGAAGCACUCUGAGACGAGAGAUGGCAAAGGUUUUAGGUCCAAAGAGUGCUGUUCUGAAGGUUUUCUCAUGGUGUGGGAUUAUGGGAAGUGCAUGUGUGUGUGUGUGUGUGUGUGUGUGUGUGUGUGUGGCAGGGGGAGCGCACAGGCACAUUCAAGCACAUGCUCGUGGGUAACCAGAGAAGGCCACCUUUCUGUGAGAGACAUUGGUACAGAAUAUAUGGUUUAUUAUCAUUACAGUUAGUAUUCUACACCUUUCCCAGGGGAUCCUGGGGGGCCGUGCCUAACUGUCGCACCACAUGCCAGGGGCGAUGUUGCCUGUUGGGCAGAACCUGAGUGGUAUCUGUGACCCCUCCCCAGGCCUCGGUGCGCCUACCCUAGAUGCAGGCUACCAGAGAACAGAAGAGAACUUUGCCUGAGACCCCAAGCACAUCCUCCUUGUGGGAUGUUUCCAAACAUGUGUAAAUUACUCUUUGCCAGUGCAGCUUGCAGGAGAUGGAGAACGUGGUGGUUAAAGAAGCUUGUUGUUUGAUUUUUUUUUUUUUUUCCCUCUGUGGACAUCCUGGAGUCAGACUCGCUCGGGCAUCCAUGUGACUCCCGUCAUCAGCUUGCACCCUGUCCCGUGUGCUACAGAGGUCACGAAGCCCCGUGACCUGGUGUCGGCGUGAGAGUUUGGAUGUGAAUUCCCCACAUUUAUAUUUUAUUUUUCAGUGUGUUAUAGGCGACGAAGCGUACGAGUCAGUCAUACACAGAAAUCAAAUAAGAGAAAGUGUACGUGUGAGCAGAGAGGAUGCCAAAAUCUCUUUGGAGGAGGAACGGGGUGUUUUCAGAUGGCGGUGAGAUGGACAGUGACAGCCGUGCGUCCCUAGACUGUGCCCUGGGCCCGCAGAGCUGGGUCUGGCCGUGGCUGUGGUCAGCUGGGUGCAGACCGGGCCGGCAGAGAGCAAGGUGCUGCCACAGACGGGCUGGCAGGGCCUGCCUCCUGGGCGCUGGGCCUAAGGCACCCUGCCUGCCAGGUGAGAGGGUCCUGGGUCCCUGGCGCUGGCCUGGGCUGCAGUCAGGCAGUCACCAGCCCUCCUGCGGUGAGCCUUGGCUGGUUUUGAUGGCGAGGAUGAUAAAAGGUCUGAGAACUCCAUAGGCCCCUGUAAUCAGGGCCAGCACUGACAUCCUUCUCAAGUUUGACAGCUUCUUCCUUUUCUCUUCUCACAGCCAAGCCUUUCUCAACCGAAUUUCCCCGCCCUCCCCCUCUCUCCUCCCUCCCUGCCGCCUCUCACCCCUUCCCUCCCUCUUCUUUCUGUGUGCUUCUCUCCUGUUUCAUGUUCUUGAUCAGUCUCAGAUGCCUGGAAUUAUUUUUUUUCGGGCAGGAGGGGGAGUGUUGCUUUAGGUUUGUGGGUUGGGCAGGUGUGAGAGGAAGUCUGUGUUUUUUUUUUUUUUGUACUGUAGGCCUGUUGCUAAUUAAUGUUCCUCCAUAAGAUUCUGUCGGAGUUGAGUAAUGUUUUUGAUCUUUAUGCCUGAUAACUGCAUACUUAAUGAGAUUUCAAAGCUGUGAGUGCAGCUCCCUACAAUUAUUGACAGAUGCCUUUUCUUUGCCAUUGGGUUCAGCUUCAUAAAUCCUCUUGCCGUAAUGAGGUUCAGCAGUGCCACCCUGGCAGUGAGCUAAUGAAAGGGGGGAGGGUGAAGCGGCUCAUGGCUGUCUGACACAUUUUUUUCCUUUAAAAUUUACUAUGCAGAUGUCAAGCUGCGGGACGAUUACUUCAAACAUGCUAAUUUUUAUCUUGCUUUUGUGUCAGCCCUUUGCCAUUAAAAAAUAAAUAAAUAAAAGGACUAACCUUACUCUCCACUUAAUUUCUUUCUUUUUUUUUUUUUUCCCCGAGUCACAUUUUUAAUAACCCGUGGUGUGUGACUGCUGGGGACUUUGACACGCGCGUGGCCUUUUGCAGGUAUCCAGUGGCAGAAGCUUUUUUUUUUUUUUUUUUUCCUUGCCAUUGGAAGGGCAGGGCGAGGAUAAAGUGCGAUUUCCCCAGGCCUCCCAUCAGCCUGCCCUAAGUAUGCACUUGAAACGUCGGAGAAUUCAUUUCAGAGUUCUGGAACUAAAUCCUGGUGGAGAAGAGCUGCACCAUGCCAAACAGUCGAUUUCCUUUUCAGCGGAGUCAUACAUCACUGACCCACCCUUCCCUCCUGACAGAAUGACAUAUGUCAUUUAUCAUAUGGGCCCCAGCCAGACAACGGGGAGGGGAGGGAAGCCCAGUCCAUGUGAUGCUGUCUCCUCCUCCCAGUACUGUACCGUUGGCUUGCAGAGAGAGGCUGCUGAUUUGGCGAGAGGGACCGGGAGGAGGGUGGAGAGGCAGGGGCGAGGAGAGGCGAGAGCCUGCUCCGUGUGGAUGGCUGGCUGGGUGUGUGGCGGGCCCAAGAUUGGCAGAGGCAGGGAAGAGGUUAUGUUCUUUCGUAUUAUCUGCUAAACCACACUGUUCGGCCUUUGACGCUCUUCUGACUCUCCCCCCACCCCCAUUCCUUUUCUCCUUUUCCUUCUUUUUUUUUUUUUUUUUUCCCUUUAGUAGUCAAGGAAAACAGCAACAGCAACAACAACAACAAACCAGGGCUGACAGGUAUCAUUCAAGCCACCCUGGCUUGUGAGGGGUGGUAUAAAUGAAUCUCAGGGCUCCUGGCUUCACAUGAUUCAAACGUGCGUUAUUGAAGAUGGAUGUUCCUUAAGAAAAGAUUGAUGUUAGAUGCUGGGCUUAGGGCGCCAUUUAUCAUUUUGAAUAUUAUUUAGACUUGCCGUGUAAACCUGUAACUUGAGAGUUGGACGAGCUGGAGCAGGGUAGGGGCCUGUGUGUGUGUGUGUGUGUGUGUGUGCGCGUGUGUAUUUCCAUCGAUUGGCCUUGGGUUCUCAUUGCUGCUGACCAGACACGAGCCCUCCCAUUUACAAUAUAGAAGACACGCCGCCCCCCUAAAAAAGUGAGGGGGAGGUUUUAAUUUUGAAUAAUUUCCAAGGACGUUUUUCCAAGGGAAAAAUGAAGUAUCUGUGAUUUACGCUAAAGCUAACAGGCAACUUCUCUCUCUCUCCCUCUCCCUCUCUCCCUCUCCCUCUCUUCCCCGACAGAGGCAGUCACGUACGAAACAUUAAAAUAUAAACAGAGCUGCAGUUGCUGAAGCCAGGACCCUUGCCUGAUUUUUUCAACUCUGUGACAUGCUUUUUUUUUUUUUUAAAUCUGUAUCUGAAAAGCUUAGCCCAAUAUAACUAUUCAAAAAAUACUGGUUGGCUUGGUUAGCAGUGUCAGAAUGAAGAAACAGACUUCCAUGUCUCAGGAAUACUUCAGAUAAAAAAUGAUCUUCUGUGGCUCCCUGCCCCUGCUCCCAGCGGCCUCCUCCCCUUUUGUGUCUGUGCUCUGUCUCCCCUCACAGGCCCCAGCAGACCCCCACCAGGACUGAUGUGGACAGCUGUUUCCAGGCCCCGCCGGCUAAUCAUUCUGGUUCUUUUGCACCCUUGAGCUGUGCUCCCGGACACCCCCACCUACUGGAAGUAGUUAGGGACGCAGGCUGGCUUACCAACGGAGCCCCCAGCCGCUGGGAGAAAUCAGCCGAGCGCCAGCCUUUCUGCCUCUUCUGCUGCAGAGGCCCUUGCUGCCAGCUUUCCCCGGGCGCAAAAAAAAAGAAAACAAAACUGCUGGCCUUCCUGCUCAGUCUCUUCACUAGCAGAGCCCCGAUAGCGCACAUUUAAUUGGCAGGCGUUCUAUUAAAUAUGUGACUUUAUUUGGGUCUGCUAAUUAAAUGUAGGGCUCCUUGUAUGACUUAGAGUGUGGACAUUAAUUUAAAAAAAUUGAUGGGACCGAAAGUUUUAGGCUGCAGUAGUUUUUUAUCUAAAGGAAUGAGAGCCUAGAAUUGGCGGAAGGGCUGGAUGUUCCUAUCUUGCUGCUUCUGGGACAAACUUUUCCCUGACAUGUAAAAAGCCUGCAUCUGCCUGAACAGAAAGAAAUGGAGAUGUGGCUUUUUCACUCACCAAGUCCAGGCAACUUUGUGUGUGUGUGUGUGUGUGUGUGUGUGCGCGCGCGCGUGCGUGCGCACGUGCACACACCUCUCUAUUUUAAAAUAACUUUAUUAGCAUCCUGACACCUUGCAUGCAAGGAUCACUUUAGGGUUCACUUGCAAUGUUGCCCAGCUAGUGCCAAAAAUGGGGUAGAAGCACCGUUACAUCCUUUGUCGGUACCUGGACUCACAUCUGACUAUAAAAAGAUGAUGGUGUUUCUUGCUGAGACUUCAUGGAAGAAAGGAAAACUUUGAUCCUCUGCCCUUGCACUUGGCCAGUGCUGGAGGAAAUUGGGAGUACAAGUGCCAAUUUGCAGGAACAAUUGUAAACACCUUCGAUACAAAUGGCAUCGGCCCAUUUUUACUGAUUAGAAAAACUUUGCUAUUAAUAGGUGCAAAGUCCAUUUCAGGUAUAAUUGGUAAGGAACUGAGUGCACUCAUGGGAAGAAACCUUGUUUUGUUUUUCGUUCGCUUUUCUUCUUAUCCCCUUUUCUCAGUUUUAUGGCUGGAGACAUGAUUUAUUGCAGCCAUCCAUCUUGGGGGCUCAUCCAUCACACCCGGGUUGCUAGGCGAUUGUGGCAGCAGCUGUUUGCUCUGAAUCAGACAGAAAAGUUGUCAAUCAUCAAAGGCAGGUGAAUAGCAUUAGAAACACGCUAUUGUCAGACGGAAUAAUUAAUCAAAGAGAGAAAAGAUAAUUAAAAAGAUAUGACCCUUGCAAGUACUUGCUCUGGGUUGCCUGGAAGAAAAAAAAAAAAAAAAGAAAGAAAGAAAGA